GAUGAACGCUGGCGGCGUGCCUCAAACAUGCAAGUCGAGCGAGGCUAUGAAUUACCGCAAGGUAAGGCAUAGCCUAGCGGCGAACGGGUGAGUAACACGUGGGUAACCUACCUGGAAGACAGGGAUAACGAUUCGAAAGGGUCGCUAAUACCUGAUAAUAUCCAUCUGCCGGAUGGCGGAGGGAAGAAAGGGGAAACCCGCUUUCAGAUGGGCCCGCGUCCCAUCAGCUAGUUGGUAAGGUAAAGGCUUACCAAGGCGACGACGGGUAGCCGGUCUGAGAGGAUGUACGGCCACACUGGGACUGAGAUACGGCCCAGACUCCUACGGGAGGCAGCAGUUGGGAAUCUUAGGCAAUGGACGAAAGUCUGACCUAGCGACGCCGCGUGAGGGAAGAAGGCCUUCGGGUUGUAAACCUCUGUCAUGGGGGAAGAAGGAAGUGACGGUACCCCAAGAGGAAGCCCCUGCUAACUACGUGCCAGCAGCCGCGGUAAAUAGUGUGUGUA
Molecule: ribosomal RNA, 503 nt
Filed under: uncultured bacterium
Lineage: Bacteria
Description: bacterial SSU rRNA
Rfam family: Bacterial small subunit ribosomal RNA
Source: RNAcentral